AUACGGAGGGUGCAAGCGUUACUCGGAAUCACUGGGCGUAAAGCGCGCGCAGGCGGCUAUUUAAGUUGGAUGUGAAAGCCUACGGCUCAACCGUAGAACUGCAUCCAAACCUAUUCAGCUAGAGUGUGGGAGAGGAAGAUGGAAUUAGUUGUGUAGGGGUAAAAUCCGUAGAGAUAACUAGGAAUACCAAAAGCGAAGGCAAUCUUCUGGAACACUUCUGACGCUGAGGCGCGAAAGCGUGGGGAGCAAACAGGAUUAGAUACCCUAGUAGUCC
Molecule: ribosomal RNA, 274 nt
Filed under: uncultured bacterium
Lineage: Bacteria
Description: partial 16S ribosomal RNA
Rfam family: Bacterial small subunit ribosomal RNA
Source: RNAcentral